This 74-nucleotide transfer RNA is filed under the name Aureoumbra lagunensis. RNAcentral's name for it is "tRNA-Ala". It matches the Rfam family "tRNA". From Rfam's summary of the family: Transfer RNA (tRNA) molecules are approximately 80 nucleotides in length. Their secondary structure includes four short double-helical elements and three loops (D, anti-codon, and T loops). The record is from RNAcentral. Lineage: Eukaryota; Pelagophyceae; Sarcinochrysidales; Sarcinochrysidaceae.
GGGAAUAUAGCUUAAUCAGGUAAAGCACAUAUUUUGCAAGUAUGAGGUUGUUAGUUCAAUUCUAAUUAUUUCCA